GGAUGUGAGGGCGAUCUGGCUGCGACAUCUGUCACCUCAUUGAGCACCAGGGUUGAUUCGGCUGAUCUGGCUGGCUAGGCGGGUAUCCCCUUCCUCCCUCACCGCUCCACGUGUGUCCCUCCCGAAGCUGCGUGCUCAGUCGAAGAGGACGACCUUCCUCAAUAGAGGAGAGGACUGUUCUUCGUUCAAGGGUAUAUUAGUAGCUGUGCUGCCCUGCUAGAACCUCCAAACAAGGGCUCAAAAUGGGAAAUCAUAGGUUAUUCAAUAAAAGAGCAUGUACAAAUAAAUGGAUAGAGACAUGAAACACCAU
Molecule: non-coding RNA, 310 nt
Organism: Pteropus alecto (black flying fox)
Lineage: Eukaryota; Metazoa; Chordata; Mammalia; Chiroptera; Pteropodidae
Source: Rfam